RNAcentral lists this ribosomal RNA (253 nucleotides) under uncultured bacterium. RNAcentral's name for it is "partial 16S ribosomal RNA". It matches the Rfam family "Bacterial small subunit ribosomal RNA", at positions 524 to 776 of the family's 1533-position model. The record is from RNAcentral.
UACGGGGGGGGCAAGCGUUAUCGGGAAUUACUGGGUUUAAAGGGUGCGUAGGCGGCUUGAUAAGUCAGCGGUGAAAGCCCGCAGCUUAACUGUGGAACUGCCUUUGAUACUGUCGAGCUUGAAAGAGGUUGAGGACAGCGGAACGUGAAAUGUAGCGGUGAAAUGCAUAGAUAUGUCAAAGAACACCGAUUGCGAAGGCAGCUGGCUGGACCUAUUUUGACGCUGAGGCACGAAAGCGUGGGGAGCGAACAGG